UAAUACAGAGGGUGCGAGCGUUAAUCGGAAUAACUGGGCGUAAAGGGCGCGUAGGCGGUAGGAGACGUGUGAUGUGAAAGCCCCGGGCUUAACCUGGGAAGAGCAUGACAAACGAUUUUACUGGAGUAUAAGAGAGGGUGGCGGAAUUUCCGGUGUAGCGGUGAAAUGCGUAGAGAUCGGAAGGAACGUCGAUGGCGAAGGCAGCCACCUGGCUUGAUACUGACGCUGAGGCGCGAAAGCGUGGGGAGCGAACAGGAUUAGAUACCCUGGUAGUCCACGCUGUAAACGAUGAAGACUAGAUGUUGGGAGGGGAACCUUUCAGUAUCGAAGCUAACGCGAUAAGUUUUCCGCCUGGGAAGUACGGCCGCAAGGUUG
Molecule: ribosomal RNA, 375 nt
Filed under: uncultured bacterium
Lineage: Bacteria
Description: bacterial SSU rRNA
Rfam family: Bacterial small subunit ribosomal RNA
Source: RNAcentral